RNAcentral lists this ribosomal RNA (504 nucleotides) under uncultured bacterium. RNAcentral's name for it is "partial 16S ribosomal RNA". It matches the Rfam family "Bacterial small subunit ribosomal RNA", at positions 28 to 507 of the family's 1533-position model. The record is from RNAcentral.
GACGAACGCUGGCGGCGUGCUUAACACAUGCAAGUCGAACGGUGAAGCGCUUGCCUUUUUGGUGGGUGUGGAUGAGUGGCGAACGGGUGAGUAACACGUGAGUAACCUGCCCUCUUCUUCUGGAUAACCUCAUGAAAGUGGGGCUAAUACGGGGUAUUCCGGGUCUGUCGCAUGGCGGGUUUGGGAAAGAUUGCGCCUUUGGGGGUUUUCGGUGGGGGUUGGGCUCGCGGCCUAUCAGCUUGUUGGUGGGGUGAUGGCCUACCAAGGCGGUGACGGGUAGCCGGCCUGAGAGGGUGGACGGCCACACUGGGACUGAGACACGGCCCAGACUCCUGCGGGAGGCAGCAGUGGGGAAUAUUGCACAAUGGGCGCAAGCCUGAUGCAGCGACGCCGCGUGAGGGAUGGAGGCCUUCGGGUUGUGAACCUCUUUCGCCAGUGAAGCAGGCCUGCUCCUGUGUGGGUGGGUUGACGGUAGCUGGAUAAGAAGCGCCGGCUAACUACGUG